This 497-nucleotide ribosomal RNA is filed under the name uncultured bacterium. Its description in RNAcentral is "partial 16S ribosomal RNA". It matches the Rfam family "Bacterial small subunit ribosomal RNA", at positions 28 to 507 of the family's 1533-position model. The record is from RNAcentral.
GAUGAACGCUGGCGGCGUGCCUAAUACAUGCAAGUCGAGCGAACAGACGAGGAGCUUGCUCCUCUGACGUUAGCGGCGGACGGGUGAGUAACACGUGGAUAACCUACCUAUAAGACUGGGAUAACUUCGGGAAACCGGAGCUAAUACCGGAUAAUAUAUUGAACCGCAUGGUUCAAUAGUGAAAGACGGUUUUGCUGUCACUUAUAGAUGGAUCCGCGCCGCAUUAGCUAGUUGGUAAGGUAACGGCUUACCAAGGCGACGAUGCGUAGCCGACCUGAGAGGGUGAUCGGCCACACUGGAACUGAGACACGGUCCAGACUCCUACGGGAGGCAGCAGUAGGGAAUCUUCCGCAAAGGGCGAAAGCCUGACGGAGCAACGCCGCGUGAGUGAUGAAGGUCUUCGGAUCGUAAAACUCUGUUAUUAGGGAAGAACAAAUGUGUAAGUAACUAUGCACGUCUCGACGGUACCUAAUCAGAAAGCCACGGCUAACUACGUG